GAAGAGCCAGAUCUCGGCAGGCUGCUGGGCAGGGGAGGUGGGAAAAGUAAACCAGUGUGCAGUCGGGGAGUGGGAUGAUAUAGACUAUUGUGUUCAGACCUCACCUGUGCCCACUGUCUCCUCUUGUGGCAGGGCAGGGCACUAAAGGAACAACAGGCAGAAUGCUGCUUUUCUAGUGUUCAGAAUGGCUAGUUCAGGUUUACUUUUCUGGCUUAGUUUGGACAAGCUCCUGUUAAUCAAGCUGUGGGAUGGAACUUCCGGGGACAGCAAAAGGUGCUAUUUUCCCUCCUGCAGGAACUCUCUUCAAAUUGCAAAAAGUACAAGUUACCCCCACAGAAUGCUGGGAAUCAUGCUUGUUACCUUCUUGCUUCAAUCCUCUAGUGUAUUUGGUAAGCACUUUAGAAGCCUUUAAAAUAGUACUCUAAGGCCAGGUAACGUGGUGUGCCUCUAGUCCCAGCUACUAGGGAGGCUGAGGCGGGAGGAUCACUUAAGCCCAGGAGUUUGAGGCUGCAGUGAGCUAUAUUAUACCUAUGAAUAGUCAACACACUGAAGCCUGGGCACCACAGGAAGAUUCUCUCUCCACAAAAAUUAAAUUAAAUUAAGUUAUUUUAAAGAGUGCUCUAAGCCAUGGGUGGGCGUGGCUUGCCUUUUCAAGCUAGGCUCUAUCUUUAUAUAAAUGAAUUGAGCCACGCCUCAACACCCCACUAUCCCCAAUCAGCUUUUCAGAGUUAUCACAUACACAUACACACGCGCACGCGCGCACACACACACACACACACACACACACACAUUCUUUUUAGCCUUGGAGCACAGGUAAGGCUGGGGAAGAAAGAUUUUGGGAAGUCUGAUUGUGUAUGAUUUUUGCUCCUAAUAGCUACUUUUAAUUUAACACCUAUUCUCUGCCAGACACUUUGCAUGUACUAUUUCUCCUCCACAUAACUGCCCUUAAAGGAUAUUAUUAUCUCUAUUUUACAGAUGAAAAAAACUGAGCUCCAGAGAACUUAAGUAACUUGUACAAGGACAUAAGAAAAUAAUAAUCUGAAACUUGGAAAUAAGCAAAAGAAGAAUGACUGCCGGCAUCUCUUUUUAGUAUCAUCAGAAGCUCUACCUAACAGGCCAUCCUACUUCCAAGGAUUAUUUAAAUCUCUAGGGAGAGUACCUUUGAUUAAUUAUUUCUUAUGAUUAGGGCCUAUAUUCUGUGAAAAUACAGAGUCCAAGUUUUAACUUUGUAGAUUAUUAAAUUAUAAAUUGUAUUUCUCCCAUAGAGAUGCAAAUUAUUUCUUUCUAUUAUAAAAGAUAAUCCCAAAGGUCAUAAUUUUAUCGACCAGUAAGACAUUACCCAGUUUUAUAUCUAACAAGCUCAUUUCAACUUUUUUUUUCUGAUAGGAUAAAUAAAUACCCAUUUUCCCCUCCCUCCCUCCCUCCCUCCCUCCCUUCCUUCCUUUUUUUUUUUUUUUUUUUUUUUCCGGAGUCUCGCUCUAUCUCCCAGGCUGGAAUGCAAUGGCAUGAUCACAGCUCACUGUAGCCUCAAUCUCCAGGCUCAAGUGAUCCUCCUGCCUCAGCCUCUGUAAGUAACUGGGACCACAGGCACAUGCUACAAUGCUCAUGCCACCACGCACAACUAAUGGAAAAAAAUUUAUAGAGAGAGGCCUUCCUAUGUUGCCUAGGCUGGUCUCAAACUCCUGGGCUCAAAAGUGAUUCUCCCACCUUGGCCUCCCAAAGUGCUGGGAUUACAGGUGUGAGCCACUAUGCCCAGCCAGUAAAUGCCCAUUUUCUUUUCUUUUCUUUCUUUUUUUGGAGACGGAGUCCAGCUGUAUCGCCCAGGCUGGAGUGCAAUGGCGUGAUCUUGGCUCACUGCAACCUCUGCCUCCCAGGUUCAAGUGAUUCUCCUGCUUCAGCCUCCGGAGUAGCUGGGAUUACAGGCUCCCGCCACCAGGCCUGGCUAAUUUUUGUAUUUUUAGUAGAGAUGGGGUUUCACUGUGUUGGCCAGGCUGAUCUCAAACUCCUGACCUCGUGACCCGCCUGUGUUGGCCUCCCAAAGUGCUGGGAUUACAAGUGUGAGCCACCGUGCCCGGCUGACCCAUUUUCAAAUGCUAUUAGAAUCACCUUUGCCAUCUUAUUUGUUCCCUCAUUAAUUAGUUAAACAAAUAUUUUACAUGAGCUCAUUAUAUGUUCAUAUGAGGGUGAACGUAAAGAAUUAUGAAGGGUUGAAGGUUUUACCCUACCUGUAAGUUAACAAGUUAGCCUGUCAUGGUUUAAUGGAUGCUGGCAGAAGACAUGAAACUCCUGGGUCAGAGACAAAGGACUUUAUGAUGAAUGGUACAGCAAGCAACAUGAACACCAGUGUAUUUGUGCCAGUUCCCCUUUCCUCUGCAAGUCCCAUAAGGGUGAUGUGGAUAGACCUAAGUAGAUGCCUAUACAUUCAGUGUGUCACAUUAUACUAAACUUAAGGAACUUGAAUCUUUUAUAAUGUUUAGUAAGCCUGAUUCCCCUUUUCUCCAGAGUGAGACACUAUCUCUACCUUCCAAAGCUAUUUGUUAUGUAAACAUCCUUGUAAGGGCAGCUUGGAACAAAGUACCUUGCUUGUAAGAUAUAUAGAAACUUAAGAGACCCAUGGAGAAUUAUCUCCCAACAGCCAAUUUUAAAAAAUUAUACCCUGGCCAGGGUGUAACAGCCUGUAAAUGACCACGCCUGGAUACUUCCUGGCUGCAAUGUCUGGGCUGUUUCCACCGUACUGAGAAAACCCAAGUCCCACUGCAUGUGACCAACAAAAGAAUCCCCCACUACUAUUAGCUCUUUGUAUCUUUUCCAACCUAGGGUGGAAGUGGCCUUGGUUUGAAAAAGAUGCAUCAAAGCACAAAAAACGUGGUAAUUAAUCAGUUUUAUUUCCAAAGCCCUACAUGUCUUGAGAUGCUUAAAAUACUUAUUGUGAUAAAAUUUUAAUAGAACCCUAAAACUACAAAAACUUUAAGGCAAUUAAAACACUAGUCUGUGAGCAAUUUAAGAGCAGGGACCAUGUUUUAUUUGUUUUUUGAAUCGUUGGAACCUAACACAGUGUCUGGUACCUAGUAGGUGUUCACCAAAAUUUUUGUCGAAUUAGUGAAUAAAUAAAUUAAGAGGGAGGAACACUCCUGUUUACCUCUUUCUUAUCCAGUUUCUCUUUGGUCCUUUCCUCUUCUAGAAAACAAAGCAGAUAUCUGUUGAACUCAUUUAUGCCCUUUGCUUCAGCUGCUUGUUCCAAUAACUUAUUCCAUAUGUUUAUUUCCUUUAGUGUGAAAAGAUUUGGCUCAAGUUUUCUUUUUUAUUUAUAGUUUCCUGAGUUUUCAGUCCUGUCCCUGCUCGCCUGUUCCCUUUCCCAUACACACACACCCGGGAGUGUGAAGGAGCAAGUGCCGACAGCUACAACCGCGAUUCAGAGGUUCUUGAAAGGGUUGCUGUUGUUUCUGGACAGUCAUCCUGGGCGGCUGUCCCCAGGCCAGCGAGGCCGACUGCUUAGCCUGCAGCCUGGGCCGCACUCCUGAGACACUCUGCCCCCAUCUGACUGGCCACGUGCCCUCUCGCUCCUCAGGUGAGUGCAGCCCAUAUGGUGAUAGAGCGAAAUGGGGACAGACCCACUGAGCUCCCACAGGGGCCUAGAAGUACUUGACAAAAGGCCGAGCUUGGAAGGGCACGGUGAGUCAAUCUGCUGGCCCAGAGGAAAACCAGAGAUUAGAGAUCUACGCUUAAUUAAUAGGCGGUGAGGAAGCCAUUUCCAGACUCACCCUGUACUUUCAGAAGCAAAUUGUGAAUUAUUGCCUCGAGAGAUAGGCUUUAGAGUGUAAAGUCCAUUUUUGUGUCAGUUGAGGAGCCUAAACAAAUGUUGAAUGGCACCACUUUCUCUUUUUCUUUAUUUCCUUUUUUUUUUGAGACAGGAUCUCAUUCUGUUGUCCAGGCUGGAGUCCAGCGAUGCAAUCAUGGCUCAGUGCAACCUUGAACUCCCGGGCUCAAGCCAUCCUCCCACCUCAGCCUCCCAAGUAGUUGGGACUAUAGGCAUGCACCAUCACAACUGGCUAAUUUUUAAAUUUUUUGUAGAGAGGGGGCUCCCUAUGUUGCGUAGGCUGGUCUCGAACUCCUAGCCUCAAGCAAUCCUCCCGCCUCGGCCUGGGAUUACAGGCGUGAGCCACUGUGCCCAGCCUAAUGACACAUUUUCUGAUUGGACAUUAGAAUGCCCAAGGGUCGAGCCUAGCAGUGUGCUCCUUCUGGGUGGUUUAAGGGAGGCAGAUGCUCUGUGGCUUCAGGGAUGUGUAGCACACCUAAGAGCCACAGAGUCACCCUUUCCUAGUACCCUAUGAGGCCACAUGUAAAGUGCCUCAGUCUGGGGUCAUCUUGUUUUCUCUCUUUUUUUUUUUCUUUUUAAUCCCCAUUUAGCUCCAAGCAAGAGAAGGAACUGGCCCUUCUUUUGCUUGUGCAAGGGUGGAUAAUGACUUGCAUAUUCCAGGAGAGUGGUGAGGCUCACCACCUUGAUAGCUACAUUUUGUCUGGGCUUCUCAAAGAAGGGAGGACGAGGAACAGGUUUUUGGCAGGUUUUGUUCCAGUUAGGGCUGGGCAGCAGUGAAACAGGCUGCCUGUCAAGUCCUGAGUUGUCCAAACUGCAGAAGGAAUUCUGCUUGAUAUAGGAGGCUGGAAUAGAUUAUGUCUAAAGUCUUUUCUAAAAGCACGGCUGAGGGUUUCCCCAAGUUCAGCUUUCUUAUAGGAGGGCAGUAUGGUGUGUUGAUCAAAAGCAGUGGCUGAGGCCAAUCAGUCUAGAUUUCAACUCUGCUACUUAUAGCCUAUGCUGUGUAGCCUUAGGCGAAAGUCUGUGCCUUCGUUUUUUCAUCUGUAAAAUAGGCUCAAUGACAGCAGAAUCUAUUUCAUGAGAGCUAUGCUGCCUCAUCUCAUGGAGCUGGUGUAAAAAAUAAGUGGAUUAGGCUAGGCACUGUGGCUCACGCCUGUAAUCCCUGCACUUUGGGAGGCUGAGGUGGUUGGAUGACUUGAGCUCAAGAGUUCAAGACCAGCCUGGGCAACAUAGUGAAACCCCAUCUCUACUAACAGUACAAAAAAUUAGGCUGCUGUGGUGGCGUGCACCUAUAAUCCCAGCUACUCAGGAGGCUGAGGUGAGAGGAUGCUUGAGUCUGGGAGGUGGAGGUUGCAGUAAACUGAGAUCGUGCCACUGCAUUCCAGCCUGGGUGACAGAAUGAGACCUUGUCUCCAAAAAAAAAAAAAAAAAAGGAGAAAGAAGAAAAAAAGAAAUAAGUGAGUUAAUACACAGAGUGUGUAGAACGAUACCUGGCCCAGAGUCUGAGAUUGAUAAAGAAUCACUAUUAUUAACUGUUUAAAACAAACGGGAGCUGGGCACGGUGGCUCACGCCUGUAAUCCCAACACUUUGGGAGGCCGAGGAGGGUGGAUCACCUGAGGUCAGGAGCUUGCGACCAGCCUGGCCAGCAUGGUGGCCUGUUUCUACUAAAAAUACAAAAACUGGCCAGGUGUGGUGGCAGGCCCCUGUAAUCCCAGCUACUUGGGAGGCUGAGACAGGAGAAUCACUUGAACCCGGGAAGCAGAGGUUGCGGGGAGCCGAGAUUGUGCCAUUACACUCCAGCCUGGGCGACAAGAGUGAAACUCCGUCUCAACAACAACAAAUGAACAAACAAAAAGGUUCUGAAUUCCCAUCUUCCCUGCGAUAAGUGGUGGGGUGUUUUCUGUCUUUUUUCCUCGUAACACAUCCCCCCAGAUUCAUGGGAACUGAGCAGGGCAGCUGGGCAGAGGAGGGAGAAGCAGAGACGUGAUGUGACAGCAGGAAGGUGGGAAAGAAUCAGCUCUAUCCUCCUACACAGUGCAAGUCACAGCUGCAACCAACCUUCUUGUUUGCAGUGGCAAAGGAGGAAGAGGCAGUGAGAUGGCAAAUAGGCAAGGCCACCAUCAGUCAUUGUCGUCACUGUCACCAUCGUCUUGCAGAUCAGCCACAAUCCUGCCUGCACAGAACAGAUGGGAUCUCACUUGGUUGCCCAGGCUCGACUCCAACUCCUGACCUCAAGGGAUCCUUCUGCCUCAGCCUCCUGAGUAGCUGGGACUACAGGCACGUACCGCUGUGCCCGGCUUGAAUUUAUUUAUCUUAUCACUGAAACUUUGUCCCCUUUGACCAGCAUCUCCCAUUUCCUCCACCCUCAGCCCCUGGUAAUCAUCAUUCUUUUCUCUGCUUCUAUGAGUUUGACUUUUUUAGAUUCCACAUGUAAGUGAGAUCAUGCAGGCAUCUGUCUGUGUGUCCCUGGCUUAUUUCACUGGGCAUAAUGUCCUCUCGGUUUGUCCAGGUUGUUCUGUCUCCUGACAGAUUCUUAUUCAUUCUUCAGAACUCAGCCAAGUCUUGCCUUCGGUGCGGCUUUCCCUGGCUCCCCUGGACUGCUCGCUCUCCUCUCUGUGCUCACCAGCUCUUGCUUCAAUCCUUGACUCCAGCACUUUCCAGACACUUAAUCCAAGCUUGCUAGAUGUGUGAGCAGGUACAGGGUGGAACCAGGUUGAUGCAACAAAUUGAUGGGCAUUACUGAUGAACCUGGGGUGAAAGUUCUGUGUGUACAUUUGCGGAAAGAUGUUGGUGUUUGGGAGAGGAUUUCUCCUGCUCAGGCUAAUUUCCGAAUGGCAAUUUCCCACUUGAUUAGCAUGAGCUCUAGCUAGAUAGGGAUAGGCCACAUGGGUCAAUGCCAUCUCUUUUGAAAAUCGUGACAGACUAUACUAGGUCUAAGUGAAAUUGUUAUCAAUAUUGAGGACUUUAGUGAUUAUUGCAGUGAUAUCCUCAAAUUUCUGCUUUUUUUUUUUUUUCCGCAGAGUGUCACUCUGUCACCCAGGCUGGAGUGCAGUGGCACAAUCUCGGCUCACUGCAACCUCUGCCUCCCAGGUUCAAGCGAUUCUUCUGCCUCAGCCUCCCAAGUAGCUGGGACCACAGACACUGUGGGAGGCUUGAGGCCCAUGACAUCAAUUUAGGCAUCCGGAGAAGGUAGGAGGCAGGGGAACAGGUAGGGGGAAGGUGUGGGGCCCUGCGUGUCUUGAAUGUCCCCUCCAAAGCUCAUGUUGAAACUUAACUCCCAAUGUGGCAGUAUUGAGACGUGGGGCCUUUUGGAGGUGAUUAGGUCUUGAGGGCUUUGCCUCCAUGAACGGAUUAAUCCAUUCAUGGAUUCAUGGAUUAACCAGUCCGUGGAUUGAUGGGUUAUUAUGGGACUGGAACUGGUGGCUUUGUAAAAAGAGGAAGAGAGUCCUGAGCUGGCCUACUCAGCUCCUCUGAUGUGACACCCUGCACCACCUCAGGACUCUGCAGAGUCCUCACCAGCAGGAGGCUCUCAUUAAACGUGGCCCCUCAGCCUUGGAAUUCCCAGCCUCCAGAACUGUACAAAAUAAAUACCUUUUCUUUUUAAAUCAUUCAGUUUCAAGUAUUCUGUUAUAAACAACAGAAAAUAAACUAUUACAGAAUCAUGGUGUGGAGAAAAAAAAUAACAAAAAGAAAAUGGACUAAGACAGACUCCACUGGAGAAGUAGUAGUUUUUAAUUGCUAUUAACAUAGGUCAGGUGUGGUGGCUCAUGCCUGUAAUCCCAGGAAUUUAGGAGGCUGAAGUGGAAGGAUUGCUUGAGGUCAGGAGUUCAAGACCAACCUGGGCAACACAGAAAAGCCCUGCCUCUACAAAGAAUUUUUAAAAAUUAGCCAGGCAUGGUGGCAUGUGCCUGUAGUCCCAGCUAUGUGGAAGGCUGAGGCGUUUAGCCACUUGAGCCCAAGAGUUCAAGGCUGCAGUGAGCUAUGAUUGUGCCACUGAACUCUAGCCUGGGCAACAGAGCAAGACCUUGUCUCUAAAAAUACAUUUUUUUAAAAAUUAUGAAAAUAGUGUGGGCAUGGUGGCUCACACCUGUAAUCCCAGCACUUUGAGAGGCUGAGGUGGGAGGAUCACUUGAGCCCAGGAAUUCAAGACCAGCCCAGCCAACGUGGUGAGAGCCCGUCUCUACAAAAAGUUUAAAAAAUAAUGAAAAUAAAAUAAUUAAAUAAUAAUAAUAAUAAUAACUAUAAAAAAAUUGAAAACAACAACAAUUCCUCACAGUGGGUAUCCUUUAAGCUGGAACAAAAGGAGAAGAUGCUAUGGUCUGAAUGUGUCCCCCCAGAAUUCAUGUGUGGAAGCAUGAUCUGCAAUAUGGUGGUAUUAAAGAGGAUGGGGCUUCGGGAGGUGAUUAGGUCAUGAAGACGCAACCAUCAUGAAUGGGAUUAGUGCUUUUGUAAAAGACAUCUGAGGGAGACUGUUUGCCGCUUCCACCAUGUGAAGGUGCAGGAAGGAGGCACCAGCUAUGAGGAAGAGGCCCUCCCCAGACGCCAGAAACUGCUGCACCUUGAUCCUGGACUUCCCAGCCUCUCCAACUUGGAGCAAUACAUUUCCACUCUUUAUAAAUGACCCACUCUAAAUUAUUUUGUUUUAGCAGCCCAAAGAGACUGACAGAGAGAAAAGUUUGAUGAACAGUUUAAAGUGGGGAAUAAGUAUAUUUUUGCAGAGAACUGUAAGGAGGGCAGCCUGUCUAAGGGGCAGGUAGGAGAUGGCAAGGAGGAUCUUCCUAGGGAAGGGUCAGGGAAAGGUGAGUGUCAGGCUGGGACAAGUGGAAACUAUGGAGUGUUCUUAGUUUGGGGCUGACAGUAAAAGCUGUGGAUCAGGAAGUGAAGUGCAUCGGUGCCCAGCAACCUCUUCUCACCCUAAGUUUUACCUGCUUUAAUGUCUCCAUGAAUAUGGUCCUAGGGGCAAUAUUGUUACUACCUGCUGUGCACAGUGUCUCAUAUAAACAAGGAACUUCCUUCGUCUAUGUUUGAAGUUUAUUUUGCAGGUAAUAGUGGGUUGGAUAUCCUGACCUCCAGGAGUUCACAUUCUUCAAUGCUUCAGGGUGGUCACGGCAAUUCUAUUAGGGUAUCUGUUCUCCACGACAGAUAUUUUUAGCAACAGAUAGCCUGAAUCCAUUCAAAGAAUGCACCUGUUGAUGGGAAUCCAGAUCUGGCAACCACACACUUUAAUUUCAAGAGUGCUCAAUCAGAGUGUGUGCUAGACUGUGGGACAGGACAGAAAGUCUACUGACUUCAGGCUCAGGCUCACAACAGCUGUUUUCCAAAAUUGGUAACAUGAAAGUGCUUCUAUUAAUGUGGAGAUUUUGGUUUGAUGGAUUCGUGGAAAUGAUCUGAUACAAAAAAGCACAAUUCCCUUCCCUCUCCCGUUUCUGUCUUGUCUUCCUCCUUCCUGCCCUUCCUCCCUUUCCUUAGCAAUAUAUUUUUUUUUUUUUUGAGACAGAGUUUCACUCUGUCACCCAUGCUGGAGUGCAGUGGCGUGAUCUCAGCUCACUACAACCUCCGCUUCCCAGGUUCAAGCAAUUCUCCUGUCUCAGCCUCCUGUGUUGCUGGCACUACAGGCACCUGCCACCAUACCUAGCUAAUUUUUAUAUUUUUAGUAGAGACAGGGUUUCACCUUGUUGAUCAGGCUGGUCUCGAACUCCUGACCUCAGGUGAUCCACCUGCCUUGGCCUCCCAAAGUGCUGGAAUUACAGGCGUGAGCCAUUGCGCCCAGCCUUCCUUAGCAAUAUUUUCUUUCUUUUUAAUUUCUCUUUUUUUUUUUUUUUUUUUGAGACCAAGUCUCGCUCUGUCACCCAGGUCUGCUCACUGCAACCUCUGCCUCCCAGAUUCAAGCAAUUCUCCUGCCUCAGCCUCCCGAGUAGCUAGGACUACAAGCACACGCCACCACGCCCAGCUAAUUUUUGUAUUUUUUUUUUUAUUAGAGACGGGGUUUCACCAUAUUGGUCAGGCUGAUCUUGAACUCUUGACCUCAUGAUCCGCCUGCCUCGGCCUCCCAAACUGCUGGGAUUACAGGUGUGAGCCACCAUGCCCGGCUGCAGUAUUUUCUAAAUGUCUCAUCUUGGAUUUGUUUUUACAGUGACAAAGAAGCCAAGCAAAGUUUUCUUCCUCUAUUAAAUGCAUAUUCUAGAAGGGAAGACAAACAAAUCAUAAACAAACUAGUAAAUAAUACAGUUUCAUAAAGUGAUGAAUGCUGGGAAGAAAGGGAGGCAGGAUAUGGCAGUGACCAGGGCCUGGAGGUAUUUUUAUUUCCCGUUUGGUGGACAGGGGAAGCACUCUGUGGAGGUCACAUCUGAGCAGAGACCUGAACUGGUGGCCGUGAUGGGAGUUUGCGGUGGAAAGCAUUGCAGGAAGAGGUGGAAAAGAACAAGCAUUGCUCUUUGAACAGCAUGAAGAUUGGGGUGGGUGGAGAGGAGGGGUCAAGGAGCAGAAGUGUAGGAUGAGGAGAAGCAGCCAGUAGCUAGAUCACCAGGGACUUGUAGGCUACAAUAAGGAUUUCAUAUUUUAUUCUAAGUGCAAUGGGAAGCUAUUGGUAGGAAUUAAGCAGGAGAGCAAGGCAAGCUGACUUACAGUUUAAGAAUACCCUGGCUGCUCUUGGAGAAUAUUCUGUAGUGGAGAAAGAAGGCUGUAGGAAGACCAGUGGCUUGGCUGUUGUAGAGUACAAGUGUAAGCUGAUGGUGGUCUGCAGUAUGGAGAUGGCAGUGGAAGCGGGGAAAGGUGGUAGGGAGGGCUCAGUAUGUGUUUUAAGAGAUCGAGAAAGGACUCAAUAAUCGUGGACUGGAUGCCCAGUAGGACAGAAAGAGAGGGGUCAAGGAUGACUCCUAGGUUUGUAUUUUGAGCAACUGGAUGAUUUAUGGGGCAAUUUUCUGAGAUGAAGAUGAUCGGGAGAGGAGACGGUUUAGAUUGGAAAAUUAAGAGCUCUGUUUUUAUAGUUUUAAGUGACUAUAUAGAAUAUUAAAAAGAUACAGCUGUCUGGAAUUUAAGAUAAAGAUCGGAGCUGGAAAUAAACUUUGGGAGUUACCAGCGUGUAGAUGGUAUUUAAAGCCAUUGAUCGAGAAGACAUCACAUGGGGAGGGAGGUGCUUGCCCUGAGGAAGAGACUGAGCUCAGAGACACUCCAAUAUUUAAUGGAUGAUGUUAAGAAUGAGAUGCUAACAGGGAAAAUUGAGAAGGAAUGGCCCGUGAAAUAGGAGGAAACUCAGAAGGGCAUGUUGUCCUGCCCACCAUAAUGUUUCAAAGAGGAACAAGUGUCAAAUCCUGCUGGGAAUAAACUGAGGACAGAUAAUUGAAUACUAGAUUCUACAUCAUGACCCUAACAUGAGCAGCUGCAGUUGAACAGUGGGGAUGAAAUUCUGAAUGAAAUGAAUUAAAAAAGUAAAGAAGUGGAGACAGCAAGUAGCAAUAGUUCUUUCAAGUUUUGCUGAGAAGGGGAGAAAAAAUGGGGAUGUAGGGUCAAGGGUGGAUUUUUCAAAUAGG
This 11344-nucleotide long non-coding RNA is filed under the name Homo sapiens (human). Its description in RNAcentral is "non-protein coding lnc-TFAP2A-14:1". The record is from RNAcentral. Lineage: Eukaryota; Metazoa; Chordata; Mammalia; Primates; Hominidae.